This 2140-nucleotide ribosomal RNA is filed under the name Cacospongia mycofijiensis. RNAcentral describes it as "eukaryotic LSU rRNA". It matches the Rfam family "Eukaryotic large subunit ribosomal RNA", at positions 29 to 1940 of the family's 3401-position model. Lineage: Eukaryota; Metazoa; Porifera; Demospongiae; Dictyoceratida; Thorectidae. The record is from RNAcentral.
GGAAUUUAAGCAUAUUAAUAAGCGGAGGAAAAGAAACUAACAAGGAUUCCCCCAGUAACGGCGAGCGAAGUGGGAAUAGCUCAAAUUUGAAAUCUCCGGUGCCUGCACUGGCGAAUUGUAGUCUGUAGGGCCAGUUUCGCCCGAGACGGUGUCCCCAAAGUCGUCCUGGAAAGGCGGGCCAGAGAGGGUGAGAGCCCCGUGCAUGGGGGCACCAUCAGAGGUAAGAUCUGUGCCCAAAGAGUCGGGUUGUUUGGGAUUGCAGCCCAAAAUGGGUGGUAAACUCCAUCUAAAGCUAAAUACCGGCACGAGACCGAUAGUGAACAAGUACCGUGAGGGAAAGAUGAAAAGCACUUUGAAAAGAGAGUCAAACAGUACGUGAAACCGUCAGGAGGGAAACGAACGAGGUUGGUGCAGUGAUCGUGCAGGUUCAAGUGCCACCGAAGGUGCCGGCACGGCGAUGUAGAUCCUCCCGUGCCGUCCACCAGAGGCAGCACCGUACUCCUCGCGAGCACAGACCAGCAGCGGUCGGACAGGAGCCACAAGGCAGCAGUGGAAGGUGAGUCGAUGUCGGCAUGUCCCACAUUGACAGCUUAUAGCCCUGCUGUCUGGUGCCCCAGCCUGACCGAGGAAUCAGGGUAGUCUUUGCCCGUUUUGGUGCACGCCAUAUGGCGGGGCCUCCCGAUGGGAGUGAACCGUGCAGUGUGGACUGCGUGCAGUGUUCACCGCAGCGGCGAUCCCCUGUGGGUGAGUGCCACCUGUGUGCCAGUGCUGCUGGCAUUUAGACGGCCUCGUCCGACCCGUCUUGAAACACGGACCAAGGAGUGCAACAUGUGCGCGAGCCCUUUGGCGAGCAAACCAGAAGGCGCAAUGAAAGUGAAGGCACGGCCGCCGUGCUGAGGUGAGAGCUGUCGAUGGCAGCACAUCAUCGACCGAUCCCAUCCGCACUCCAGUGGUGUGGUAGGAUUCGAGUAAGAGUGUACCUGUUGCGACCCGAAAGAUGGUGAACUAUGCCUGAAUAGGGUGAAGCCAGAGGAAACUCUGGUGGAGGCCCGUAGCGAUUCUGACGUGCAAAUCGAUCGUCAAAUUUGGGUAUAGGGGCGAAAGACUAAUCGAACCAUCUAGUAGCUGGUUCCCUCCGAAGUUUCCCUCAGGAUAGCUGUAGCCCGAAGCAGUUUUAUCAGGUAAAGCGAAUGAUUAGAGGUAUCGGGGAAGAAACUUCCUCGACCUAUUCUCAAACUUUAAAUAGGUAAGAAGUCCAACUUGCUCAAUUUGAAGCUGGACACAGAAUGCUGGGUUACUAGUGGGCCAUUUUUGGUAAGCAGAACUGGCGAUGCGGGAUGAACCGAACGCCGAGUUAAGGUGCCAAAGUCGACGCUCAUCAGAUCCCACAAAAGGUGUUGGUUGAUAUAGACAGCAGGACGGUGGCCAUGGAAGUCGGAAUCCGCUAAGGAGUGUGUAACAACUCACCUGCCGAAUCAACUAGCCCUGAAAAUGGAUGGCGCUUAAGCGUCGCACCUAUACUCGGCCGUCGGAGCAAGAGCGAGGCCCCGACGUGUAGGAGGGCGCGGUGGUGGUGAUGCAGCCCCUGGCGUGAGCCUGGGUCAAACCGCCACCGGUGCAGAUCUUGGUGGUAGUAGCAAAUAUUCAAAUGAGAGCUUUGAAGACUGAAGUGGGGAAAGGUUCCAUGUGAACAGCAGUUGGACAUGGGUUAGUCGGUCCUAAGAGAUAGGGUAACUCCGUUUGAAAAGCGUGCAGUCCUCCGGGUGUGCACCGACCUGUCGAAAGGGAAUCGGGUCAAUAUUCCCGAACCGGAACACGGAUGUGGUGCUCUCAGUACCAAAGCGGCAACGCAAAUGAACUCGGAGACGCCGGCGGGAGCCCCGGGAAGAGUUCUCUUUUCUUCUUAACAUGCUGUCACCCUGAAAUCGGUUUGCCCGGAGAUAGGGUCACAUGCCUGGUAAAGCGCCACACCUCUUGUGGCGUCCGGUGCGCUCUCGACGGCCCGUGAAAAUCCGAGGGAGCAGAUGAUUAUCGUGUCCGGCCGUACUCAUAACCGCAGCAGGUCUCCAAGGUGAACAGCCUCUAGUCGAUAGAACAAUGUAGGUAAGGGAAGUCGGCAAAAUAGAUCCGUAACUUUGGG